Molecule: long non-coding RNA, 559 nt
Organism: Biomphalaria glabrata
Lineage: Eukaryota; Metazoa; Mollusca; Gastropoda; Planorbidae
Exons: 2
Source: RefSeq, a predicted model, not a curated record
CUUAAGAACCUAAGACAAAGGACCUCCAUCCUAUAUCCUUAGGAAUUCUCUGGGGUCUGCUAGAGUUACAAAAAUGUACAUAUUAUGAAACAAUUUGGUUUCUAUAAAGUACAGAGCUCAAAGUUUUUUCUUUGAAAAUGGAGUCAUCCCAAAGAUAAGUCUGUAAGAUAUUUCUUUAGCUUUUGUUGCAAUGUGUCUGUUAUGAAGGUUAGUAAAAGUGUCUUUAAAAUCUGUUAUAUUUAAAUCUUUUCCCCAUUUAAUCCUAAUAGCUAAAUUUUCUUGUAACUGUUUUUUUAAUGUUGUGUAUAUUUCUUUAUAUUUAUUGUGUAUUAAAGGUUCAUUGCCAGAAAGAGUUCUUGAGAUGAAUCUGUAAAAGGGAUGUAAGUUUGUGCCAAAAUAGUGUGGAGUGUUGUUUUGUAUUGGAAUUAAAUUGCUUAAUCUCAAACCAUAAUAGUAUAUUGUAAGGGGGAAAUCAUUUGGAUUCUUAACUACUUGACCUAUGAAUUUUAAUCUGAGUGCACAUAUUUUAGUUUUGAUGUCUUGUAAAUUGAUCCCCCCA